GACGAACGCUGGCGGCGUGCUUAACACAUGCAAGUCGAACGGAAAGGCCCUGCAUUUGUGGGGUGCUCGAGUGGCGAACGGGUGAGUAACACGUGAGUAACCUGCCCUUGACUUUGGGGUAACUUCAGGAAACUGGAGCUAACAUCCGAUAGGAGCACCUGCUGCAUGGUGGGGGAUGGAAAGUUUCGGCGGUUUGGGAUGGACGCGAGGAUCAUCAUCUUGUUGGGGGGGUAGUGGCUUACCAAGGCUUUGACGGGUUGCCGGACUGGGAGGGUGACCGGCCACAAGGGGACUAAGGGAGGGCCCAGAGGGCUACUGUGGGCAGCGGUGGGAAUUAUUGCACAAUAGGCCGAAGUCGGAUGCAACGACGUCGGGUUCGUAAAGACGGUCUGCGGGGUAAAAACCGGUUGCGCCUGUGACGAUGCGUGAGUGACGGUAACUGGUAAAUAAGCACCGGCUAACUACGUG
RNAcentral lists this ribosomal RNA (468 nucleotides) under uncultured bacterium. RNAcentral's name for it is "partial 16S ribosomal RNA". It matches the Rfam family "Bacterial small subunit ribosomal RNA", at positions 28 to 507 of the family's 1533-position model. The record is from RNAcentral.